Salvelinus sp. IW2-2015 is the source of this 424-nucleotide long non-coding RNA. RefSeq lists it as uncharacterized. NCBI's taxonomy places the organism in Eukaryota, Metazoa, Chordata, Actinopteri, Salmoniformes, Salmonidae. The record is from RefSeq and is a predicted model, not a curated record.
GCUCAGCAGGGAGGAAUGACUGCUGAAAUGGUUUUGUGGAGGAGGAGAGGGAGGAGUGGGAUCUAGAGGUGACAGGUAUUACCCAGUUUUAUCCUGCCCAUUCAAGCAGAAAGAGAACAUCUACUUCAGCUCAGUAAAAGCCGCAAACCCUUCCCUCUGUGACCCAAGSACGUGGGUGCCAUUUUGGAACGCAAAGGUGACCCUGAAGUUGUUCCUGACUCUACAGACCGGUCUCCUGUCCAACUGAGAGAAGUGCCAGAGAGCGCUCAAUUAUCACCCACCCUUUCACCUCRGAGACAUGUGGGUGACGAGAGGCCCCAGAGGACCCUGGCUGCAGGCUGCAGCCAGCCAGGCCCCCAUUCACAGCUCACAGGGCAGGGCGGCUCCAGACUGCAGUGGAGGACACACUGACUGUUCACUCCCC